CAGCAUAGUGUCCGUACUCAC
RNAcentral lists this non-coding RNA (21 nucleotides) under Arabidopsis thaliana (thale cress). Lineage: Eukaryota; Viridiplantae; Streptophyta; Magnoliopsida; Brassicales; Brassicaceae. The record is from RNAcentral.